UCUCGGGAUUGAGGAAAUACUCCAUAGGUCAUGGGAUCUGGAACGACCCAUGGCCGAAAGCUCCGGCGCUUAAGGAUCGCUCUGCGGCUUAUCAGGUCGUAGUGGGUGUAACGUACCCCCUAGCCGACGACGAGUAUGGGCCUUGAGAGAGGGAGCCCAGAGUUGGAUUCUGAGACACGAAUCCAGGCCCUACGGGGCGCAGCAGUCGCGAAAACUUCACACUGGGGGCAACCCCGAUGAGGGAAUUCCUAGUGCCAGGGCUUUUUGUCCUGGCUUUUCUCCAGCGUAGAUUACUGGAGGAAUAAGGGCUGGGUAAGACGGGUGCCAGCCGCCGCGGUAAUACCUGCAGCCCGAGUGGUGGUCGAUUUUAUUGAGUCUAAAACGUUCGUAGCCGGUCCGGUAAAUCCCUGGGUAAAUCGGGAAGCUCAACUUCCCGGAUUCCGGGGAGACUGCCGGACUUGGGACCGGGAGAGGCUAGAGGUACUUCUGGGGUAGGGGUAAAAUCCUGUAAUCCUGGAAGGACCACCGGUGGCGAAGGCGUCUAGCUAGAACGGAUCCGACGGUGAGGGACGAAGCCCUGGGUCGCAAACGGGAUUAGAUACCCCGGUAGUCCAGGGUGUAAACGCUGCAGACUUGGUGUUGGGGGCCCUUCGGGGGCGUCCAGUGCCGGAGAGAAGUUGUUAAGUCUGCUACUUGGGGAGUACGUCCGCAAGGAUGAAACUUAAAGGAAUUGGCGGGGGAGCACCGCAACGGGAGGAGCGUGCGGUUUAAUUGGAUUCAACACCGGAAAACUCACCAAGGGCGACUGUUACAUGAAGGCCAGGCCGACGACCUUGCCGGAUUUUCAGAGAGGUGGUGCAUGGCCGUCGUCAGUUCGUACCGUAAGGCGUUCUCUUAAGUGAGAUAACGAACGAGACCCUCACCGAUAAUUGCUACUUCUUCCUCCGGGGAGGAGGCACAUUAUCGGGACCGCUGGCGCUAAGCCAGAGGAAGGAGAGGUCAACGGUAGGUCAGUAUGCCCCGAAUCUCUUGGGCUACACGCGCGCUACAAAGGGCGGGACAAUGGGCUCCGACGCCGAGAGGCGGAGGCAAUCCCGAAACCCGUCCGUAGUUCGGAUUGAGGGCUGUAACCCGCCCUCAUGAAGCUGGAUUCCGUAGUAAUCGCGA
RNAcentral lists this ribosomal RNA (1167 nucleotides) under uncultured Methanobrevibacter sp. RNAcentral describes it as "bacterial SSU rRNA". It matches the Rfam family "Archaeal small subunit ribosomal RNA", at positions 130 to 1303 of the family's 1478-position model. Lineage: Archaea; Methanobacteriati; Methanobacteriota; Methanobacteria; Methanobacteriales; Methanobacteriaceae. The record is from RNAcentral.